UACGUAGGGUCCAAGCGUUGUCCGGAUUUACUGGGUUUAAAGGGUGCGUAGGCGGCUGCUUAAGUCGGUGAUGAAAUGCGGGGGCUCAACCUUACGCGCUGUUGCCGAAACUGGGCGGCUUGAGACUAUAAGAGGUAGCUGGAAUAAGUGGUGUAGCGGUGAAAUGCGUAGAGAUCGGAAAGAACACCAACGGCGAAAGCACUCUGCUGGGCCGACACUGACACUGAGAGACGAAAGCUAGGGGAGCGAAUGGG
RNAcentral lists this ribosomal RNA (254 nucleotides) under uncultured bacterium. Its description in RNAcentral is "partial 16S ribosomal RNA". It matches the Rfam family "Bacterial small subunit ribosomal RNA", at positions 524 to 776 of the family's 1533-position model. The record is from RNAcentral.